CAUGAUUUACAUUUGAGUGAGUGGCGAACUGGUGAGUAACACGUGGGAAACCUGCCCAGAAGCGGGGGAUAACACCUGGAAACAGAUGCUAAUACCGCAUAACAACUUGGACCGCAUGGUCCGAGUUUGAAAGAUGGCUUCGGCUAUCACUUUUGGAUGGUCCCGCGGCGUAUUAGCUAGAUGGUGGGGUAACGGCUCACCGUGGCAAUGAUACGUAGCCGACCUGAGAGGGUAAUCGGCCACAUUGGGACUGAGACACGGCCCAAACUCCUACGGGAGGCAGCAGUAGGGAAUCUUCCACAAUGGACGAAAGUCUGAUGGAGCAACGCCGCGUGAGUGAAGAAGGGUUUCGGCUCGUAAAACUCUGUUGUUAAAGAAGAACAUAUCUGAGAGUAACUGUUCAGGUAUUGACGGUAUUUAACCAGAAAGCCACGGCUAACUACGUGCCAGCAGCCGCGGUAAUACGUAGGUGGCAAGCGUUGUCCGGAUUUAUUGGGCGUAAAGCGAGCGCAGGCGGUUUUUUAAGUCUGAUGUGAAAGCCUUCGGCUCAACCGAAGAAGUGCAUCGGAAACUGGGAAACUUGAGUGCAGAAGAGGACAGUGGAACUCCAUGUGUAGCGGAGAAAUGCGUAUAUAUAUGGAAGAACACCAGUGGCGAAGGCGGCUGUCUGGUCUGUAACUGACGCUGAGGCUCGAAAGUAUGGGUAGCAAACAAGAUUAGAUACCCUGGUAGUCCAUACCGUAAACGAUGAAUGCUAAGUGUU
This 763-nucleotide ribosomal RNA is filed under the name Lactiplantibacillus plantarum. Its description in RNAcentral is "bacterial SSU rRNA". It matches the Rfam family "Bacterial small subunit ribosomal RNA", at positions 74 to 824 of the family's 1533-position model. Lineage: Bacteria; Bacillati; Bacillota; Bacilli; Lactobacillales; Lactobacillaceae. The record is from RNAcentral.